RNAcentral lists this small RNA (107 nucleotides) under Photobacterium aphoticum. Its description in RNAcentral is "Photobacterium sp. CECT 7614 t44 RNA". It matches the Rfam family "t44 RNA". From Rfam's summary of the family: This family consists of a number of bacterial RNA genes of between 135 and 170 bases in length. The t44 gene is found between the map and rpsB genes in all species in the full alignment apart from Shigella flexneri. The function of this RNA is unknown. Lineage: Bacteria; Pseudomonadati; Pseudomonadota; Gammaproteobacteria; Vibrionales; Vibrionaceae. The record is from Rfam by way of RNAcentral.
CUAAACUUUUAUUAAUCACUCACACAUAUCGGCACAUCUUCCGGGGUGCUCGGCAAUCUUUCGCGAGGUUGUACGGGUCGGUAAGGUGGGAUAUGUGGACGCCUAAC